GAUGAACGCUAGCGGCAGGCUUAACACAUGCAAGUCGAGGGGCAGCACGUCUUCGGAUGGUGGCGACCGGCGCACGGGUGCGUAACGCGUAUAGAACCUACCUUUUACAGGGGAAUAGCCCAGAGAAAUUUGGAUUAAUGCCCCAUAGUAUUAUUAGAUGGCAUCAUUUGAUAAUUAAACAUUUAUGGGUAAAAGAUGGCUAUGCGUUCUAUUAGCUAGAUGGUAAGGUAACGGCUUACCAUGGCGACGAUAGAUAGGGGUCCUGAGAGGGAGAUCCCCCACACUGGUACUGAGACACGGACCAGACUCCUACGGGAGGCAGCAGUGAGGAAUAUUGGACAAUGGGCGAGAGCCUGAUCCAGCCAUGCCGCGUGCAGGAAGACGGUCCUAUGGAUUGUAAACUGCUUUUUAUACAGGAAGAAACACUCCCUCGUGAGGGAAUUUGACGGUACUGUAUGAAUAAGCACCGGCUAACUCCGUGCCAGCA
This 487-nucleotide ribosomal RNA is filed under the name uncultured bacterium. RNAcentral's name for it is "bacterial SSU rRNA". It matches the Rfam family "Bacterial small subunit ribosomal RNA", at positions 28 to 513 of the family's 1533-position model. The record is from RNAcentral.